This 87-nucleotide transfer RNA is filed under the name Burkholderiales bacterium. Its description in RNAcentral is "tRNA-Leu". It matches the Rfam family "tRNA". Rfam says of the family: Transfer RNA (tRNA) molecules are approximately 80 nucleotides in length. RNAcentral also lists the same sequence under 4 other names. Lineage: Bacteria; Pseudomonadati; Pseudomonadota; Betaproteobacteria; Burkholderiales. The record is from RNAcentral.
GCCGAGAUGGCGGAAUUGGUAGACGCACUAGGUUCAGGUCCUAGCGCCCGCAAGGGUGUGGAGGUUCGAGUCCUCUUCUCGGCACCA